GGAGCGGUGGCAGAGUGGACGAAUGCACCGGUCUUGAAAACCGGCGACCUGCAAGGGUCCGAGGGUUCGAAUCCCUCCCGCUCCG
RNAcentral lists this transfer RNA (85 nucleotides) under Acidimicrobiales bacterium. RNAcentral describes it as "tRNA-Ser". It matches the Rfam family "tRNA". Rfam says of the family: Transfer RNA (tRNA) molecules are approximately 80 nucleotides in length. Their secondary structure includes four short double-helical elements and three loops (D, anti-codon, and T loops). The record is from RNAcentral. Lineage: Bacteria; Bacillati; Actinomycetota; Acidimicrobiia; Acidimicrobiales.